Molecule: long non-coding RNA, 529 nt
Organism: Actinia tenebrosa (Australian red waratah sea anemone)
Lineage: Eukaryota; Metazoa; Cnidaria; Anthozoa; Actiniaria; Actiniidae
Source: RefSeq, a predicted model, not a curated record
GGAUUUUCCAAAACGGUUGGCGAUUUCUAACAGUAACAGGAGCGUUCACUUCAGAGCGACGUCUGCGUGGGAUAGGAGGAUUUGGACCAAGAUCUAAUGAAGUGAUCCAAUAACACUGCCAGCAAAUGGAAGAGUAAUCUACUCUAUCAUUUGGAACAUUUCCUCCAGAAGCAGAGCUAAUCCCUUCGCACUUCACAGACUGAUUCAAGACAAACUUCUGAAUGAUCGUCAAAUUCUGUAAGGAGCACCUUUUCCGUUUAUAUUCUCAUCAAACGAUGUCUUGUCAAAUCCUUUAGUUUGGCUAAUCUAAUGGAAAUAUUUCAAGUCAUCAUCGUUGAUCCUAAUUCGGCUUAUCGUUCAAUCUCAAAGGAAUCUAAAAGAACUUAGAUGAUCUCAGUUUAAAAUAUUUAGUAAAAGAGUAACCAGUCAGACACAGGCUUCCAUCACAAAGACUAUUACCUGCUUUGAAUCGAUUGUCUAAGAGUGCACGCACUAAAUCCGUGAACAUUAAUUAGUACUAAUUAGUACU